Molecule: long non-coding RNA, 1157 nt
Filed under: Brachypodium distachyon (stiff brome)
Lineage: Eukaryota; Viridiplantae; Streptophyta; Magnoliopsida; Poales; Poaceae
Description: long non-coding RNA (BDIS_LNC005787)
Source: RNAcentral
AAUGACAAUUCUGCGGUCGAUGGGACGCAGCCCCCGAGUGUCGGGUGCGUCCAAUGACAAGUUUGCGGUCGAUUGCACGCAGCCCCCGAGUCUCGGGUGCGUCCAAUGACAAGUUUGCGCUCGAUUGGACGCAGCCCCCGAGUCUCAGGUGCGUCCAAUGACAAGUUUUGGGAUCGAUCUCUCAGUUCUGAGUAUGAUGUGAUCGCAACAACGUAAGUAAAAGGAAAAGACUCUGAGUAGAGGAGCAUAAAUAUUUUUAUUACGUACCGAUUGUAACAUCCCAAAAUUUCAAACCUUUACAUGAGCAUUGCAUCCAUGAGCAUCAUGCCACAAUUGCAAGUUUGAAUUCAAAUUUGAAUCCCAAAAAGUCUUUAAAAGUGUUUAUUUCAACUUGAACCUUAGGGUUUUACACCCAUUUGAGCUUUGGAUCUUCAAACCAAUAGGUUUUAUGUAUAAAAGGGGUUUAAUGCAUAUAUAAGCUAUCCCAUAAUUUUUGGAUAAUUAUUUGGAGUUGAAAAAGUAUUUUAUCUAGAUAGAUAUAUAGCCCUAGAGCCAUUUAUAGGGCAAAUGUAUUUUUAUAUAUUUUAUUUUGAGGGCAAACUACUUCCAAAAGUUGUAUCAUGGUAGAACAUGAUUUUACAAAUUUUCUGGGAUUUAUUUGGACCAAUUUGGAGUUCAAAAUCAAAAGAUAUCAAAGGAAUAAGAAAAACAGAAAAAGAAAAGGGUAAAAGAAAAAAAAAGAGCAAACGGACCGGCCCGGCCGAAUUGGGCCGAACCGGCCCAACUCCUCGCGCACGCCCGCCUCCCAGCCAGCCCAGCGCCUGCGCCCACGCGCCCGCACCCGCUGACAGGUGAGGCUCACCCGUCAGGGGCUUCUUCCCCGGAAGGAAAGCCCCCGCGUCCGCCGCGCGCCUUCCUUCUUCGCCGCCGCGCGCUCACCGCCGGAUUCCCCUCGCUCCGUCCCUUAAUCCUCGAGCCCGAGCACGUCCAUAAAUAGCCCAUGCCCUCCUCUCUACUUCCCCCUUGUUUCCCCAGCCAAUCGCGCCGCCAGGCCGCCCCAAUUCUUCGCCGGAAAACCUUUGGCCGCCGCCGUUUCUCGCGCCUCUCCGACGAGCCACGAGGUUAGAGCCUACCCAUCUCGUCCUUUCUUCUUCCCC